This 460-nucleotide ribosomal RNA is filed under the name uncultured bacterium. RNAcentral's name for it is "partial 16S ribosomal RNA". It matches the Rfam family "Bacterial small subunit ribosomal RNA", at positions 338 to 795 of the family's 1533-position model. The record is from RNAcentral.
CCUACGGGUGGCAGCAGUGAGGAAUAUUGGUCAAUGGACGCGAGUCUGAACCAGCCAAGUAGCGUGAAGGAUGACUGCCCUAUGGGUUGUAAACUUCUUUUAUAUGGGAAUAAAACGUUCCACGUGUGGGAUUUUGUAUGUACCAUAUGAAUAAGGAUCGGCUAACUCCGUGCCAGCAGCCGCGGUAAUACGGAGGAUCCGAGCGUUAUCCGGAUUUAUUGGGUUUAAAGGGAGCGUAGGUGGAUUGUUAAGUCAGUUGUGAAAGUUUGCGGCUCAACCGUAAAAUUGCAGUUGAAACUGGCAGUCUUGAGUACAGUAGAGGUGGGCGGAAUUCGUGGUGUAGCGGUGAAAUGCUGAGAUAUCACGAAGAACUCCGAUUGCGAAGGCAGUUCACUGGACUGCAACUGACACUGAGGCUCGAAAGUGUGGGUAUCAAACAGGAUUAGAUACCCGUGUAGUC